UACGGGGGGGGCAAGCGUUGUUCGGAAUUACUGGGCGUAAAGGGCUCGUAGGCGGCCAACUAAGUCGGAUGUGAAAUCCCCAGGCUCAACUUGGGAACUGCAUCCGAUACUGGAUGGCUUGAAUUCGGGAGAGGGAUGCAGAAUUCCAGGUGUAGCGGUGAAAUGCGUAGAGAUGUGGAGGAAUACCGAUGGCGAAGGCAGCCCCCUGGGAUAACACUGACGCUCAUGCACGAAAGCGUGGGGAGCAAACAGG
This 253-nucleotide ribosomal RNA is filed under the name uncultured bacterium. Its description in RNAcentral is "partial 16S ribosomal RNA". It matches the Rfam family "Bacterial small subunit ribosomal RNA", at positions 524 to 776 of the family's 1533-position model. The record is from RNAcentral.